CGAGCGCAACCCCUAUUGUUAGUUGCCAUCAUUCAGUUGGGCACUCUAGCGAGACUGCCGGUAAUAAACCGGAGGAAGGUGGGGAGUGACGUCAAAUCAUCAUGCCCCUUAUGACCUGGGCUACACACGUGCUACAAUGGUUGGUACAACGAGUUGCGAGUCGGUGACGGCGAGCUAAUCUCUUAAAGCCAAUCUCAGUUCGGAUUGUAGGCUGCAACUCGCCUACAUGAAGUCGGAAUCGCUAGUAAUCGCGGAUCAGCACGCCGCGGUGAAUACGUUCCCGGGCCUU
RNAcentral lists this ribosomal RNA (289 nucleotides) under uncultured Streptococcus sp. RNAcentral describes it as "partial 16S ribosomal RNA". It matches the Rfam family "Bacterial small subunit ribosomal RNA", at positions 1093 to 1382 of the family's 1533-position model. The record is from RNAcentral. Lineage: Bacteria; Bacillati; Bacillota; Bacilli; Lactobacillales; Streptococcaceae.